GUUCGUCCUUGACGGCGACGGUUUGCCGGAGAUUUUUACAUACUCCGUCUCCGUGAUAGGUGUUUCAUUCAUCAGAUGGAAGUAGAAGGUGAAGAGUUGAAGAAAAGGAAGCAGGUUGGCGAAGAUACAGUGCACGUCUCUUCGUCACCUGGGGAUUUUUGGCGAUCUCGCAACGGACCUCGCAAGUUUUUCGACCGUUAUAGCCUACCUAAAGGUUGGUUAUAUUGCCCUCCAUAUGGUGAUAAU
This 246-nucleotide unclassified non-coding RNA is filed under the name Hevea brasiliensis (rubber tree). Lineage: Eukaryota; Viridiplantae; Streptophyta; Magnoliopsida; Malpighiales; Euphorbiaceae. The record is from RNAcentral.